CAAUAGAAUCAGAAAUUAAAAAAAAAAAAAACCUAAAACUAAUACCCAAAAAUAAAAUCAAAAACCCACUUUCCCAAAUCCCAUUUCCUUCUCGUCACCUUCACCGCCAUUUCUCUUCUUCUUCCUUCUCAUCCCUUCUCCUUCUUUCUCAUAUAAACCGACCUUCCCUUUUCUCUGUGCAGCAAAAUCAGGCGGCGGCUUUCACCGAACACGAACACCACUUCUCACGGUGGUUCUACAACCAAUUACCGGUGUUCCUCUUUUUGUAUUUGUUAGUGUAAACAAACUAAGUUGCUAAAGAAUACUGACAUUCCGGAGAGUCCCAUGUUUAAACCCGAAGCCGGAGCAAGAGGUUAUUUUUGUCGACGAAGCUGGCUGUCCUGAGGAGCGUGUCGCAGAAGCCUUCAAGUGCCUCUCUGAAUAUGAUCCUGCAGGCUGUUGGGAAGAUGAUUUGACAAAAUCGUUUCGUUAUUGGAAGAUACGUGAUUUUGCAUAUGCUUAUCGUGCCAAGCUUGUUACCCCAUCGAUGAUUGCUGAGAGAAUAAUCUCAGCCUUGGAGGUCUUUAAUAAAGAAAAUCCGACCACUGCAUUACUCAUAUCUUUUGACGCUGAGGAUGUAAGGGCGCAAGCAGCUGCUUCUACUCAAAGAUUUGAAGAAGGAAAACCUAUAUCAAUUUUGGACGGAGUAUUCAUGACAAUCAAGGAUUAUAUAGAUUGUUACCCUUAUCCAUCUAAUGGUACAACCAAAAUGACUAUUGUUUGCUAAUCUUUGAAACAGUCGUAUUAUUAGAAGAUUUCAUUAGUCGUUUUUAACGCCUAAUUUUUCUUAUAUAUUUGUUCGUUACUAAUUAUAAUUUAAUUAGUGAUGGUAGUAAUUUGAAAAAUCUCUACGAUGAUUAGAAACUUGUUAAUUCGUAACAUGAUUAUGAAUCGAAACAAGUAACGUAAACUUUGGAGGUAAAAACUUAAAAUUGAGCAACUACCCAUAACAGUUCAAAAAAAAAAAUUUUUAAUUAUUACCCAAGCAUAUUAUAUAACCAUGAUGGGAGUAAAUUAAAUAUUUCACACAUAUACAAGUGAUUUUUAAACAUGAAGUACAAGUUACAUAACUUGUUACAUGUACAACAAUUUUUACCCAAACUUUAAACUAUCUUAGAUAAACCUUUAUUAUACCAUAAUAGACCAAAUUGAGGACAAAAAGCACUCCAAACCAGCCCCAAAACAGCAGCCCCUAGCUGUCAUACUAGCCCUCUUUUAGCCCCAAAACUCACUUACACACUCCACCAAACUCUCUACCCAAAGCCCCUAUUGUUCUUACCCAAAAACACCAUCAUAACAAGCAUGCAAACAUAAUAAAUCAAGACAUAUUUGCUGUCCAUAUUUUCAGCUCCAUCAACCUUCUUUCACUCUUCAUUUUACUCCUUAUUUCAUCCAUAAGCAAAGUUGAAGUUCAAUCUUACAAUUUCUAGCAAAAACACCUUAUUUUCUCAUCAAAUCUUCUUCAAAAACCCAUCUAAAACUUCUGAAAAUUUAUGUUUAUAAACUCAAAUCUCCCAUAAAAAUAAUCUUCAUCUUAAGAGCUUUCCAUAGACACCAAACUUGAAGAAAUCCACCAAGUAUAGAGUUUAGUUGAAGAGUUGGAGUUGAGACUUGAAGGGCAAGGACCCAAAGUUAGAACCACUUCUAAGAACACGUAGGAGCUUACGUGGGAGCUUACGGAAUAAUUAUAUAGGCUUGGAGUCGAGAGUAAACCCCUAUGGCACCUCGACGGAGAAUGGAUAUGCGAGCGGAAGAUGAACCUGAGUUGGAGUAUGACUCCCCUUUGUUUAGAUCUCGUUAUUUUAUUUGAGAGACUGUUAGUUUAGAUUUAGACUAUUUUAAGGAUGUCAUUUGAACUUUGGACUUAUUUCGAUUUGGUUGUAAUUUUCCUAUAUUUUGGACAGUUAAUACUUCCGUUAUAUUGCUUUGGUUUGGUUCAAGUAUUAUACUUGAAUAUUGGUUUGACCUUUAAGUAACCCCUUAAUUGUGUUGGCAAAAGUAAGCUUCCGCUUGAUUAAUACUAAAUUCCAGUUAGUGUUUGCCUUCAUAAUUCGAGGCGGUUACAAUCUUUCUACACGCAUGAAGCUCAC
Molecule: RNA transcript, 2129 nt
Organism: Amaranthus tricolor (Joseph's coat)
Lineage: Eukaryota; Viridiplantae; Streptophyta; Magnoliopsida; Caryophyllales; Amaranthaceae
Gene name: fatty acid amide hydrolase-like
Exons: 7
Source: RefSeq, a predicted model, not a curated record